UACGGAGGGUGCGAACGUUAAUCGGAAUUACUGGGCGUAAAGCGCGCGUAGGCGGUUCGGCAAGUGGGAUGUGAAAGCCCCGGGCUUAACCUGGGAAUUGCGUUCCAAACUACCGGGCUAGAGUAUGGUAGAGGGAGGUAGAAUUUCCUGUGUAGCGGUGAAAUGCGUAGAUAUAGGAAGGAAUACCGGUGGCGAAGGCGGGCGCCUUGACCAAUACUGACUCCGAGGUGCGCAAGCGUGGGGAGCAAACAGG
RNAcentral lists this ribosomal RNA (253 nucleotides) under uncultured bacterium. Its description in RNAcentral is "partial 16S ribosomal RNA". It matches the Rfam family "Bacterial small subunit ribosomal RNA", at positions 524 to 776 of the family's 1533-position model. The record is from RNAcentral.